CCAAUAGCGUAUAUUAAAGUUGUUGCAGUUAAAAAGCUCGUAGUUGAAUUUCGGGAUCAAUAUAUCGGUCGUGCCUUCGGUACGUACUGGUAUCGUUGAUUUCUACCUUCUGACGAACCAUGAUGUCAUUAAUUUGGUUUCAUGGGAAAUCAGGACUGUUACUUUGAAAAAAUUAGAGUGUUUAAAGCAGGCCCACGCUUGAAUACAUUAGCAUGGAAUAAUGAAAUAGGACGUUUGACCCUAUUUUGUUGGUUUCUAGGAUCGACGUAAUGAUUAAUAGGGAUAGUUGGGGGCAUUAGUAUUCAAUUGUCAGAGGUGAAAUUCUUGGAUUUAUUGAAGACUAACUACUGCGAAAGCAUUUGCCAAGGAUGUUUUCAUUAAUCAAGAACGAAAGUUAGGGGAUCGAAGACGAUCAGAUACCGUCGUAGUCUUAACCAUAAACUAUGCCGACUAGGGAUCGGAUGAUGUUAAUUUUUUAAUGACUCAUUCGGCGCCUUACG
RNAcentral lists this ribosomal RNA (500 nucleotides) under uncultured Glomeromycotina. RNAcentral describes it as "partial small subunit ribosomal RNA". It matches the Rfam family "Eukaryotic small subunit ribosomal RNA", at positions 591 to 1092 of the family's 1831-position model. The record is from RNAcentral. Lineage: Eukaryota; Fungi; Glomeromycota.